Molecule: RNase P RNA, 236 nt
Filed under: Methylotenera sp.
Lineage: Bacteria; Pseudomonadati; Pseudomonadota; Betaproteobacteria; Nitrosomonadales; Methylophilaceae
Description: partial RNase P RNA component class A
Rfam family: Bacterial RNase P class A
About the family: Ribonuclease P (RNase P) is a ubiquitous endoribonuclease, found in archaea, bacteria and eukarya as well as chloroplasts and mitochondria. Its best characterised activity is the generation of mature 5'-ends of tRNAs by cleaving the 5'-leader elements of precursor-tRNAs. Cellular RNase Ps are ribonucleoproteins.
Source: RNAcentral
AGUAUAAGGCGCGGAAUAGGGCCACAGAGACGAGCGUAUUUAGUUACGGUGAAACGCGGUAACCUCCAUUCGCAGCAAGACCAAAUAGGCUAGCACUUUACCUUCGGGUAAUAAGGCGUGGUUCGCGCUGCUAGCGGGUAGGUUGCUUGAGCGUACAAGUAAUUGUACGCCUAGAUGAAUGACUGUCGUGCGUUGCAAAACGUAAACAGAACCCGGCUUAUCGGCCAGCUUCAAUC